GGUGACCAGACCGUUCCCUCUGCUGAGGGCUGCUGAGGGCUGAAGCAGGGAUGACUCAUGGAGAGGCCCCAGCAGACAGCCGAGGAAGCCUCUGACCCUGCGGUGCUGUGGGCUGGGCCAUCACGGGACACUGGGGAGCCACAGAUGUGCUCAGAGGUAGGGAUAUGCGGUGAGUCACUCCACCCCUGUCAGGCACUGGCAGGGAGCUGAGGAGUCAGAAGCAGAGAGAGCCAGCGCCGAGCUCGCCCGGUGCCUGUGAGCAGCCAGCCUCUAAAUGGCUUCCAGCUUGACAGUCCUCACACUGUGGCAAUGUAGCUUCUGGAAGCCUAUGGGGCCCAGGGACAUUCCUCUGACUGACUCCAGUGGAUGAGGUGUGCUCAGGGUGUGGUGGGUGAGCAAGUGGCCUUCCCGGGUCAGCUAGAGGGACUCCCUUGUCAUCGUCCAGUGGUGGAAAUUGAUGAAUUGGCACCUAACAUGAAUGCGAUAUCCUCCUGGGAGGCUGAGAAUCUCUAAUCUUGUCCCACUCGAUGUCAGCAACUCCGCAGGCCUGGAAGCCUCCCUCUGAAUGCUU
This 571-nucleotide long non-coding RNA is filed under the name Homo sapiens (human). Its description in RNAcentral is "non-protein coding LINC01170:7". Lineage: Eukaryota; Metazoa; Chordata; Mammalia; Primates; Hominidae. The record is from RNAcentral.